Molecule: ribosomal RNA, 491 nt
Filed under: uncultured Gammaproteobacteria bacterium
Lineage: Bacteria; Pseudomonadati; Pseudomonadota; Gammaproteobacteria
Description: bacterial SSU rRNA
Rfam family: Bacterial small subunit ribosomal RNA
Source: RNAcentral
AUUGAACGCUGGCGGCAUGCCUAACACAUGCAAGUCGAACGGCAGCACAGCAGUAGCAAUACUGUGGGUGGCGAGUGGCGGACGGGUGAGUAAUGCAUCGGGAUCUACCCAAACGUGGGGGAUAACGUAGGGAAACUUACGCUAAUACCGCAUACGUCCUAUGGGAGAAAGCGGGGGAUCGCAAGACCUCGCGCGGUUGGACGAACCGAUGUGCGAUUAGCUAGUUGGUAGGGUAAUGGCCUACCAAGGCGACGAUCGCUAGCUGGUCUGAGAGGAUGAUCAGCCACACUGGAACUGAGACACGGUCCAGACUCCUACGGGAGGCAGCAGUGGGGAAUAUUGGACAAUGGGCGCAAGCCUGAUCCAGCAAUGCCGCGUGUGUGAAGAAGGCCUUCGGGUUGUAAAGCACUUUUAUCAGGAGCGAAAUGCCAUUGGUUAAUACCCGGUGGAGCUGACGGUACCUGAGGAAUAAGCACCGGCUAACUUCGUGC